This 893-nucleotide ribosomal RNA is filed under the name Fusarium vanettenii. RNAcentral describes it as "partial large subunit ribosomal RNA". It matches the Rfam family "Eukaryotic large subunit ribosomal RNA", at positions 38 to 961 of the family's 3401-position model. Lineage: Eukaryota; Fungi; Ascomycota; Sordariomycetes; Hypocreales; Nectriaceae. The record is from RNAcentral.
GCAUAUCAAUAAGCGGAGGAAAAGAAACCAACAGGGAUUGCCCCAGUAACGGCGAGUGAAGCGGCAACAGCUCAAAUUUGAAAUCUGGCUCUCGGGCCCGAGUUGUAAUUUGUAGAGGAUGCUUUUGGUGAGGUGCCUUCCGAGUUCCCUGGAACGGGACGCCAUAGAGGGUGAGAGCCCCGUCUGGUUGGACGCCGAACCUCUGUAAAGCUCCUUCGACGAGUCGAGUAGUUUGGGAAUGCUGCUCUAAAUGGGAGGUAUAUGUCUUCUAAAGCUAAAUACCGGCCAGAGACCGAUAGCGCACAAGUAGAGUGAUCGAAAGAUGAAAAGAACUUUGAAAAGAGAGUUAAACAGUACGUGAAAUUGUUGAAAGGGAAGCGCUUGUGACCAGACUUGGGCUUGGUUGAUCAUCCGGGGUUCUCCCCGGUGCACUCUUCCGGCCCAGGCCAGCAUCAGUUCGCCCUGGGGGACAAAGGCAUCGGGAACGUGGCUCUCUCCGGGGAGUGUUAUAGCCCGUUGCGUAAUACCCUGCGGCGGACUGAGGUUCGCGCAUUCGCAAGGAUGCUGGCGUAAUGGUCAUCAGUGACCCGUCUUGAAACACGGACCAAGGAGUCGUCUUCGUAUGCGAGUGUUCGGGUGUCAAACCCCUACGCGAAAUGAAAGUGAACGCAGGUGAGAGCUUCGGCGCAUCAUCGACCGAUCCUGAUGUUAUCGGAUGGAUUUGAGUAAGAGCAUACGGGGCCGGACCCGAAAGAAGGUGAACUAUGCCUGUGUAGGGUGAAGCCAGAGGAAACUCUGGUGGAGGCUCGCAGCGGUUCUGACGUGCAAAUCGAUCGUCAAACAUGGGCAUGGGGGCGAAAGACUAAUCGAACCUUCUAGUAGCUGGUUUCCGC